This 613-nucleotide ribosomal RNA is filed under the name Salmonella enterica subsp. salamae serovar 47:b:1,5. RNAcentral describes it as "partial 23S ribosomal RNA". It matches the Rfam family "Bacterial large subunit ribosomal RNA", at positions 580 to 1194 of the family's 2925-position model. The record is from RNAcentral. Lineage: Bacteria; Pseudomonadati; Pseudomonadota; Gammaproteobacteria; Enterobacterales; Enterobacteriaceae.
CUCUUUAUGGGGGGUGACUGCGUACCUUUUGUAUAAUGGGUCAGCGACUUAUAUUCUGUAGCAAGGUUAACCGCAUAGGGGAGCCGAAGGGAAACCGAGUCUUAAUUGGGCGUUAAGUUGCAGGGUAUAGACCCGAAACCCGGUGAUCUAGCCAUGGGCAGGUUGAAGGUUGGGUAACACUAACUGGAGGACCGAACCGACUAAUGUUGAAAAAUUAGCGGAUGACCUGUGGCUGGGGGUGAAAGGCCAAUCAAACCGGGAGAUAGCUGGUUCUCCCCGAAAGCUAUUUAGGUAGCGCCUCGUGAACUCAUCUCCGGGGGUAGAGCACUGUUUCGGCUAGGGGGCCAUCCCGGCUUACCAACCCGAUGCAAACUGCGAAUACCGGAGAAUGUUAUCACGGGAGACACACGGCGGGUGCUAACGUCCGUCGUGAAGAGGGAAACAACCCAGACCGCCAGCUAAGGUCCCAAAGUCAUGGUUAAGUGGGAAACGAUGUGGGAAGGCCCAGACAGCCAGGAUGUUGGCUUAGAAGCAGCCAUCAUUUAAAGAAAGCGUAAUAGCUCACUGGUCGAGUCGGCCUGCGCGGAAGAUGUAACGGGGCUAAACCAUGCAC